Molecule: ribosomal RNA, 255 nt
Filed under: Clostridioides difficile
Lineage: Bacteria; Bacillati; Bacillota; Clostridia; Peptostreptococcales; Peptostreptococcaceae
Description: partial 23S ribosomal RNA
Rfam family: Bacterial large subunit ribosomal RNA
Source: RNAcentral
AUUUCCGGGGCUAAAACUUACUACCGAAGCUACGGCAUCAGUAAUGAUGGGUAGGGGAGCUUCCCAUACGGGUUGAAGCAUGACCGUAAGGACAUGUGGACAGUAGGGGAGUGAGAAUGUUGGCAUGAGUAGCGAGAUGUGGGUGAGAAUCCCACAGGCCGUAAACCCAAGGUUUCCAGGGGAAGGUUCGUCCGCCCUGGGUUAGUCGGGACCUAAGCUGAGGCCGAAAGGCGUAGGUGAUGGACAACAGGUGGA